UUUUUCAGUCUGCUUUCUUCAGGAGAAGCCUCCAGGAAAGGAAAGGGGAUAGCUGGAUGCAGUUCUGCACAUUUCUAUGCUGCUGCUUCCUGACAGGGCAGCCCCAGCACAGGAGGCCUCUGCAGACCACUCUCUUAUCUCUGUGUUGGAAAUGCUUCUGGGAGGUCUCCAGACAACUUGUGUUUCUCCAAGAAGAGAGGAUUUUGAAGCAGAAAGGUUGGUGGGACAGCCUUGGGGAGAGAAUGGCAGAGAACAGGAAGGAAGGCUAAUGUGGAUCAAAGGAAAGCUAAGGCUGCGAACAGAUGAAGAGCUGAAUUGUUUGCAUUGUCUAUUGCGAAGCACUUCUGCAGCAUUUGCUGGACUGAAAGCACAGCUGCUCUUGACUUUCUGGAAGCCAUGGAUGAGGAGUACUUCUUCAAAUCAGGCUGAGUUAGUCCCCAUGUCAGAGUUCAGACAACGAAGAACACCAGCAACAUUUAGCAAACCUUUUCCUAGUCUCCCAUAGCAUUUGUGUGAAGGGAAGAAACAAAAUAAUCCAGUUCCCACAGCACCCCUCAGUACCCCUUAACAGUUGGACUGUAUUUCACACUCUAAAGUCUCCUAACACCUUCAGAUAUUUCAGUUCACUAGUCCUGUUCACUGCUCCCUGAUGAAAGACAAUCCAGCCUGCAGUUGGAAUGCAACCAAGUUCUUAGGCAAAAUGAAUACUCCCCUUAGAUUCGUUUUUGUGUAUUUGACUUCACGACUCAACACUGUUUUUUUUAACACAGCCUUUUGUGUAUAAUGUAUGAGGUCUUAAAAGUUGUUUGAAAGCACAGCUUCCUCUACAAUGCCUCAAAUCAUCGUGCAUAUGGUCCAUCAGUAGUAGGGCUGAAGGUCUUGGAUUUGCUACUUAGAUCUCUUCCACUGAGGGAUAAUUGGUGACACAGCAGAUGCUUCAUUCUGGACAAAUUGCUGAAGAA
Molecule: long non-coding RNA, 962 nt
Filed under: Gallus gallus (chicken)
Lineage: Eukaryota; Metazoa; Chordata; Aves; Galliformes; Phasianidae
Description: lncRNA (ENSGALG00010004849.1)
Source: RNAcentral